UGGGGAAUAUUGGACAAUGGGCGCAAGCCUGAUCCAGCAAUGCCGCGUGAGUGAUGAAGGCCUUAGGGUUGUAAAGCUCUUUCGCACGCGACGAUGAUGACGGUAGCGUGAGAAGAAGCCCCGGCUAACUUCGUGCCAGCAGCCGCGGUAAUACGAAGGGGGCUAGCGUUGUUCGGAAUUACUGGGCGUAAAGGGCGCGUAGGCGGCCUGUUUAGUCAGAAGUGAAAGCCCCGGGCUCAACCUGGGAAUAGCUUUUGAUACUGGCAGGCUUGAGUUCCGGAGAGGAUGGUGGAAUUCCCAGUGUAGAGGUGAAAUUCGUAGAUAUUGGGAAGAACACCGGUGGCGAAGGCGGCCAUCUGGACGGACACUGACGCUGAGGCGCGAAAGCGUGGGGAGCAAACAGGAUUAGAUACCCUGGUAGUCCACGCCCGUAAACGAUGAAUGCUAGACGUCGGGGUGCAUGCACUUCGGUGUCGCCGCUAACGCAUUAAGCAUUCCGCCUGGGGGAGUACGGCCGCAAGGUUAAAACUUAAAUGAAUUGACGGGGUC
This 549-nucleotide ribosomal RNA is filed under the name uncultured bacterium. RNAcentral describes it as "partial 16S ribosomal RNA". It matches the Rfam family "Bacterial small subunit ribosomal RNA", at positions 355 to 920 of the family's 1533-position model. The record is from RNAcentral.